This is a long non-coding RNA of Cucumis sativus (cucumber), 959 nucleotides long. RefSeq lists it as uncharacterized. Lineage: Eukaryota; Viridiplantae; Streptophyta; Magnoliopsida; Cucurbitales; Cucurbitaceae. The transcript has 2 exons. The record is from RefSeq and is a predicted model, not a curated record.
UUAACACAACAACAAUAAUAAUAAUAACAAAAUGACCAAAUUACUUGAUACCCAAAAUUCCAUACCCUCACCCUCUAUUUAUACCCCUUCUAUUAUUCCCUUUCUCUUUUAAUAUAAACCCUUUUUCUUUUCCUUUUCUUUCUCCGCCGUGCGUGCUCCGCCGUGCACCACUAGCUGUUGAAGCUGCCAGCAUGAUCUGAAUCUGAACCCUCCGCCGCCCCGAUCUCACGUCGGUCCAUCGGAAUCGGAUCAUAUUGGUAGCUUCAUCUGCUCAUGGUAUCACGAUUCUCUCUCUCUCUCUUCUUAACCCUAAUUUUUCAUUUUUAACCCUUUAUGGAAUUAUAGAAAUGGCAUUUACUUGGGAAACUCAAAUAUUAUAUCGACACAAAGAUUGAAGAUUGAAGAGAAGAUAUGUUUGUGUUAGGGUUUCCAAUUACAUUUUGAAGAAGAAUCGAAUCUAUAAUUAAUUUGAAGUAAACUACAAUAAUACGAAUUUAUCUACUGAAUUAUAUGUUUAGACUAACUAUUUGAACUUUGAGCUUAUAGAUCUUUUUUUUAAGUAUAUGUUCAGAAGAUAGAAAUUGAAUAAAAUAAAACUUUCUCGAAAUGAAUUCAUUUAUAUUCUGUAAUGUUAUGAAAAUUUAAAAUCUUGAAAUAAUUGGAUGAAAUAUAUAUAAUUUUUCUUGAGAAGGAUUAUUUUUACACUCAUUUUCGUUUUCCAAUUAGUAAUGUGGUUGGAUGGGUUUUCAUGAUGAGUAAUAAUUAAAGAUGGGUGAUAGAGAUGUUUAACUAAUGUAUUCAUUUUUAAAAUAUUGUGUCAUGAUUGAUAUUAUUCUUUUGCUUAGGUACAAAAUAAAUGUGUGACAUGAUAUUUAAUUUCUAAUAAAUGAAACAGUGAUAUGAUAUUCAACUAUUAAUUUUCAGGUCGUUAUUGUCAAAAAAAAAAAAAAAAAAAAAAA